RNAcentral lists this ribosomal RNA (429 nucleotides) under Pseudomonadota bacterium. RNAcentral's name for it is "Proteobacteria bacterium partial 16S ribosomal RNA". It matches the Rfam family "Bacterial small subunit ribosomal RNA", at positions 355 to 776 of the family's 1533-position model. The record is from RNAcentral. Lineage: Bacteria; Pseudomonadati; Pseudomonadota.
UGGGGAAUAUUGGAUAAUGGGCGAAAGCCUGAUCCAGCCAUGUCGCGUGUGUGAAGAAGGUCUUCGGAUUGUAAAGCACUUUAAGUUGGGAGGAAGGGCAGUAAGCGAAUACCUUGCUGUUUUGACGUUACCGACAGAAUAAGCACCGGCUAACUCUGUGCCAGCAGCCGCGGUAAUACAGAGGGUGCAAGCGUUAAUCGGAAUUACUGGGCGUAAAGCGCCCGUAGGUUGUUCGUUAAGUUGAAUGUGAAAGCCCCGGGCUCAACCUGGGAACUGACUCCAUAACUGGCGAGCUCAAGUAGGGCAGAUGGUGGUGGAAUUUCCUGUGUAGCGGAGAAAUGCGUAGAUAUAGGAAGGAACACCAGUGGCGAAGGCGACCACCUGGGCUCAUACUGACACUGAGGUGCGAAAGCGUGGGGAGCAAACAGG